CUACUAGCCCUUCCGUCCGAAAAUACUUGUCAUCAAAUGGAUAAAAAUGGAUGUAUGUAGAACAAAAGUACAUCUAGAUACAUCUCCUUUUAUUUAUUUUGAUGACAAAUAUUUUCAGACGGGGGGAGUAGUAG
Non-coding RNA from Triticum aestivum (bread wheat), 134 nucleotides. Lineage: Eukaryota; Viridiplantae; Streptophyta; Magnoliopsida; Poales; Poaceae. The record is from Rfam.